CAUGGCGAAAAUGAAUUGCACUCUUGAUUACACAUCAAUGAAAAUGGAAAACUAUCUUGAAAUAGAAAUUGACAGGAUGAAACAGAUGGGAGUGUAUAGCCAUUCAAAAUCAAAACAUUUGGGUCUGAAACUAGAGGUGGGAAGGGAACACUAGGCUGGAUGAAAACGCAGGAAAUGCCCAACUGCUUCAUCUGCAUCGCAACAAGGACAGUUAGCCACUGCAUCAGGCUCAUACCAUUGCAUACAUGCAUUAAGCAGUAAGGGUCAGUAUCAAGUAGGGGCGUCUACCUAUAUCUGCAGGUUCUUUGCGAACCAGCCUCUAUGGACCGAAACAUUUUCCCAGUUUCCCUUUUCUCGCUCCAGCUUCUGAAAUUUCCCUCCUUGCCAAAUGCGCUACAGCCCACAGCUACGGAACAAGUGCAAAUGAUUGGCUGGCCACACGGCCGCGGUCGCGCAAUGCGCCGAGCACCUUGUGGGCGUGGUGGACAUGCGGACGCCCGACCUGGCUGCAUCGCUGCUGGAGCAACGGUGUCGCGGUUCCGAGAAGGCAGCUAACUAGCGAAGGUUGCCAAGGACGACGGCGAUGAGCCGGGACAGGUGUGAUGUGGCCAGACGGCGGAAGCCGGCGGUGGUCUGGGACGCCGGUGCGCGAUGACAAGUCUCGCUAGAGGAUGAGUCGGGCCACUGAUGGCUUUGCAAAAGUGGGUCUCAUCGUCGUCCCAUACUUCUGCUGGACCGGCAGUCCACAGCCAUUUUGACUGGGCCGCCCAUUUGGCGAAUAGGCGAGCCGGGAGAUACACUCGUUGCCUGCGACUGGACCGGCCAUUUGACAACUACUGUAGCGUACGAAGUACUAUAGCUCGCAGGGGG
This 870-nucleotide long non-coding RNA is filed under the name Triticum aestivum (bread wheat). Its description in RNAcentral is "long non-coding RNA (TAES_LNC023571)". The record is from RNAcentral. Lineage: Eukaryota; Viridiplantae; Streptophyta; Magnoliopsida; Poales; Poaceae.